UGGGGAAUAUUGCACAAUGGGCGCAAGCCUGAUGCAGCCAUGCCGCGUGUGUGAAGAAGGCCUUCGGGUUGUAAAGCACUUUCAGCGAGGAGGAAGGUGGUGAGCUUAAUACGCUCAUCAAUUGACGUUACUCGCAGAAGAAGCACCGGCUAACUCCGUGCCAGCAGCCGCGGUAAUACGGAGGGUGCAAGCGUUAAUCGGAAUUACUGGGCGUAAAAGCGCACGCAGGCGGUUUGUUAAGUCAAGAUGUGAAAUCCCCGGGCUCAACCUGGGAACUGCAUUUGAAACUGGCAAGCUAGAGUCUCGUAGAGGGGGGUAGAAUUCCAGGUGUAGCGGUGAAAUGCGUAGAGAUCUGGAGG
RNAcentral lists this ribosomal RNA (359 nucleotides) under uncultured bacterium. RNAcentral's name for it is "partial 16S ribosomal RNA". It matches the Rfam family "Bacterial small subunit ribosomal RNA", at positions 355 to 704 of the family's 1533-position model. The record is from RNAcentral.